AGCUUCGCGCAGUGGCAAUAUCGUAGCCAGUGACAUUUAUCCAAGGCACUAUUAUUGCUGAUCGAAAAAAGAAAGAGAAGUCCCACCAUAUUGUAAUCUUCUUGGCCUCUGCCUUCUAGCGUGAGUAUAGAUGUGUACCACCAUGCUUGGC
Molecule: small nuclear RNA, 151 nt
Filed under: Tupaia belangeri (northern tree shrew)
Lineage: Eukaryota; Metazoa; Chordata; Mammalia; Scandentia; Tupaiidae
Description: U4 spliceosomal RNA (ENSTBEG00000020461.1)
Rfam family: U4 spliceosomal RNA
About the family: U4 small nuclear RNA (U4 snRNA) is a component of the major U2-dependent spliceosome. The structure of U4 snRNA from yeast and human has been reported.
Source: RNAcentral